This 2134-nucleotide long non-coding RNA is filed under the name Physcomitrium patens. RNAcentral describes it as "long non-coding RNA (PPAT_LNC001051)". Lineage: Eukaryota; Viridiplantae; Streptophyta; Bryopsida; Funariales; Funariaceae. The record is from RNAcentral.
GGGUAGACUCGGGUGGGGUGGGGCUCUUAAGGUUGCGCAGCGGGGACAAGGAAUGCAAAGUAAAGCAGCCCUCACACUUUGGUACUGGGUCCACAGAUUGGCCAAGGACGGCGCCAUUUUUGGGACAUGGGAGCAAAAGCGGGAAGGGAUCGGUGCACAACAAGCUGUAGGGGUGGUGAGGAGGAGGAGAGCAUCAAAACCAUUUUCAAGGCGUUGGGUUGGCUCGCUUUCUGACUGAAACAGCCCAUCUGGUUGUCUCUUUCUCAAGGGCUCAGCUGCUGUUCUUGUCACUUCCAUCCUGUCAAGGCCCCCCUUGCAAUGCGCUGUGACUGAUCACCCUUUGUAACCCAAAUCAAAGUUCUGGCUCAUCUGAUUGAGCGCUGACAACUUUAGGUACUAAUGCUACGGGUUUUAAGGACUGUAAUCCCUUGUGCAGAGUAGUCUCGAUGUAGUUAUUCGUAUUUAUUACCACGUCCACUGCAUGUGGCGCAAUCUGAAUUGUGACUCAGCGGGGGGGUUUCGGGAAUUUUGUGAGGUAAAUGCGGAUUGCUAGGCUAGUGCAUGAAAUCGAGAAGCUGCCCAAUUUUCGUGGUGGUUUGGGCUGUGGGUACCUUUCGUCUCUUACACGAGUGUUUUUCUUUGUAUUGAAGCCAUGCGGGCAUCCGUUUCCUGGUGGGAGAGUCGUUUCUCCUGAUCUGAGCUUCUCAAACCUGAUCCUGCAGAGCAUCCAGGUCGGCUUGUGCAUCUCUUGUCAGCGUUGGCUCUGAUCUUUGAGUUUUUUUGUGAAAGCAACGUGCGUUAAUUACAGUUGAUUAGGACUUUGUAGGGUGUUCAUAGAGGUUCUGAUGCUCGCUGGUUGCGGAGUAUAGGUGUCGUUUGAAAGUCCUUGAACACGACAAUGGUGACCUAAUCUGUGGAGACUGUGGUUUUGUACAUUUGCCUUGGGUUUUCGCUGCGUUCAGUAUUGCACAAUGUGUGGGUUUCGUUUGCUAGCUUUAGGGUUUGAUAAGACCAAUGAUUGGCUUUCGAGUGCUGAGCACAAUUUGGAAGAAAGUAUGGCAACAAGUCGCUAUUACUUCUGCUUGGUAAGAGAGUCCUCGCUAGUACUUGAUCAGACAGGACCUGAGGUAACAAUUGGCGAUCCAGAUCGUGAGACACUAUUUUGACAUGAAACCCUAGUUUUGGCCACUUCCGAGCUUAGAAGGUAAGGAGUUGUUGAUUCCAAGCAAUUGACCUUUUACCAUCUGAACCUUAGUCGGGAACCCCGCCAUCACGAGUAUUGGACAGUGCUUUCCUGAAAGCUCAGUGAUGGCUGCGAAACGCCGUGCACUUUGUGGUUGCUUUACGCAAUCAAAUGAGUCGAGUUCCACUGUCAGGACGCUGUGCUCCAGUUGGGUCUCUUUAAUGCUUCUUCUGGGAAAGGAUGGCGACGCUCUUAAGGAAUACAGGGGCAAAACGAAACUGUAAUCAGCGAGUUUUGAGUGCCUGCCUCACACUCUUAAGCACAUCGGUUGACUUGAACCACUCGUUGCGCAGCAAUGUUUUGUAUUAAUUAGCUCAUGAAUCUCUUAUUAUCAACACUGCUUGGCAGAAACAGCUCAGAGAAAGCUGUUUCUCAGAGAUAAUAACUGUAUUCAUGAAUUCAACGGAUCAUAGAAUCAACUUUGCAAAACACCCUGGAUCAUCUUUCUCACCCCCCCGAAGAAGAAGAAGAAGAAGAAAUGUGUCGGUUGACCUUGUUAAAGACAGGUUGAAAAGCUCCAGUCGUGUUGAGUCUGGAAACAGAGCUACGUAGUCUCAAUGCCUUUCCCUCAGACGCACAAGUGGAAGACAGCGCUAACAAGCCAGCUCGUGCCUGAAAGAAAACAGGAUCUUAUCUAGGAUUUUUUCCACAACUGGACAUGAAGGAUACAAGCCUCAAGAAUGAUAUCCAAGCCACGAUCCACACAUAAGGAUCCACACAGAAACGUCCAAGAGAAUGCCGACAACAGAGUAGCCUCACUCAAGCUCAUGCUGAUGCUUGAAAGAAAAGCUGAUAAGGGCCAUCAAGGAGCAAUAGCGCAGCAAAGCAGAUGCACGCACACCUUUUCUUACCAUGACAUUGAACAUUCUCCUCGAAUCAAUCAAACCUGAC